UACGGGGGGAGCAAGCGUUGUUCGGAUUUACUGGGCGUAAAGGGCGCGUAGGCGGCUCGGCAAAUCGGUCGUGGAAUCUCGACGCUUACCGUCGAAACGGCGGCCGAAAAUACCGGGCUCGAGGGCGUGAGGGGUCACUGGAACUCCUGGUGAAGCGGUGAAAUGCGUAGAUAUCAGGAGGAACGCCGGAGGCGAAAGCGAGUGACUGGCGCGUUCCUGACGCUGAGGUGCGAAAGCUAGGGGAGCAAACAGG
This 253-nucleotide ribosomal RNA is filed under the name uncultured bacterium. RNAcentral describes it as "partial 16S ribosomal RNA". It matches the Rfam family "Bacterial small subunit ribosomal RNA", at positions 524 to 776 of the family's 1533-position model. The record is from RNAcentral.